CCAANGUAUGCUUUGGAAACUGUUAGACUUGAGUGCAGAAGGGGAGAGUGGAAUUCCAUGUGUAGCGGUGAAAUGCGUAGAUAUAUGGAGGAACNCCGGUGGCGAAAGCGGCUCUCUGGUCUGUCACUGACGCUGAGGCUCGAAAGCGUGGGUAGCGAACAGGAUUAGAUACCCUGGUAGUNCACGCCGUAAACGCUGAGUGCUAGGUGUUAGGUCCUUUCCGGGACUUAGUGCCGACGCUAACGCAUUAAGCACUCCGCCUGGGGAGUACGACCGCAAGGUUGAAACUCAAAGGAAUUGACGGGGGCCCGCACAAGCGGUGGAGCAUGUGGUUUAAUUCGAAGCAACGCGAAGAACCUUACCAGGUCUUGACAUCCCGAUGCCCGCUCUAGAGAUAGAGUUUUUCUUCGGAACAUCGGAGACAGGUGGUGCAUGGUUGUCGUCAGCUCGUGUCGUGAGAUGUUGGGUUAAGUCCCGCAACGAGCGCAACCCUUAUUGUUAGUUGCCAUCAUUAAGUUGGGCACUCUAGCGAGACUGCCGGUAAUAAACCGGAGGAAGGUGGGGAUGACGUCAAAUCAUCAUGCCCCUUAUGACCUGGGCUACACACGUGCUACAAUGGUUGGUACAACGAGUCGCAAGCCGGUGACGGCAAGCUAAUCUCUGAAAGCCAAUCUCAGUUCGGAUUGUAGGCUGCAACUCGCCUACAUGAAGUCGGAAUCGCUAGUAAUCGCGGAUCAGCACGCCGCGGUGAAUACGUUCCCGGGCCUUGUACA
Molecule: ribosomal RNA, 773 nt
Filed under: uncultured bacterium
Lineage: Bacteria
Description: bacterial SSU rRNA
Rfam family: Bacterial small subunit ribosomal RNA
Source: RNAcentral